AUAUCAAUAAGCGGAGGAAAAGAAACUAACAAGGAUUCCCCUAGUAACUGCGAGUGAAGCGGGAAAAGCUCAAAUUUAAAAUCUGGUGGUCUUUGGCCAUCCGAGUUGUAAUCUAGAGAAGUGUUAUCCGCGCUGGACCGUGUACAAGUCUCCUGGAAUGGAGCGUCAUAGAGGGUGAGAAUCCCGUCUUUGACACGGACUACCAGGGCUUUGUGAUGCGCUCUCAAAGAGUCGAGUUGUUUGGGAAUGCAGCUCAAAAUGGGUGGUAAAUUCCAUCUAAAGCUAAAUAUUGGCGAGAGACCGAUAGCGAACAAGUACCGUGAGGGAAAGAUGAAAAGAACUUUGGAAAGAGAGUUAAACAGUACGUGAAAUUGCUGAAAGGGAAACGCUUGAAGUCAGUCGCGUUGUCCGGGAAUCAACCUUGCUUUUGCUGGGCGUACUUUCCGGUUGACGGGUCAGCAUCAAUUUUGACCGUUGGAUAAAGUUCAGAGGAAUGUGGCAUCUUCGGAUGUGUUAUAGCCUUUGUUCGCAUACAACGGUUGGGAUUGAGGAACUCAGCACGCCGCAAGGCCGGGUAUUUAUACUACGUUCGUGCUUAGGAUGCUGGCAUAAUGGCUUUAAUCGACCCGUCUUGAAACACGGACCAAGGAGUCUAACAUGCCUGCGAGUGUUUGGGUGGAAAACCCGAGCGCGUAAUGAAAGUGAAAGUUGAGAUCCCUGUCGUGGGGAGCAUCGACGCCCGGACCAGACCUUUUGUGACGGAUCCGCGGUAGAGCAUGUAUGUGGGACCCGAAAGAUGGUGAACUAUGCCUGAAUAGGGUGAAGCCAGAGGAACUCUGGUGGAGGCUCGUAGCGAUUCUG
This 861-nucleotide ribosomal RNA is filed under the name Galerina patagonica. RNAcentral's name for it is "partial large subunit ribosomal RNA". It matches the Rfam family "Eukaryotic large subunit ribosomal RNA", at positions 40 to 888 of the family's 3401-position model. Lineage: Eukaryota; Fungi; Basidiomycota; Agaricomycetes; Agaricales; Galerinaceae. The record is from RNAcentral.